This 325-nucleotide ribosomal RNA is filed under the name uncultured bacterium. Its description in RNAcentral is "bacterial SSU rRNA". It matches the Rfam family "Bacterial small subunit ribosomal RNA", at positions 28 to 334 of the family's 1533-position model. The record is from RNAcentral.
GACGAACGCUGGCGGCGUGCCUAACACAUGCAAGUCGAGCGGGAAACAAGAGACUGAUCCCUUCGGGGUGAAGUCUUUUGUGGAGAGCGGCGGACGGGUGAGUAACGCGUGAGUAACCUGCCUGUAAGAGGGGGAUAACACAGAGAAAUCUGUGCUAAUACCGCAUAUUGAAGUUUUUCCGCAUGGGGAAGCUUUGAAAGAUUUAUCGCUUACAGAUGGACUCGCGUCUGAUUAGAUAGUAGGCGGGGUAACGGCCCACCUAGUCGACGAUCAGUAGCCGAACUGAGAGGUUGAUCGGCCACAUUGGGACUGAGACACGGCCCAG